Non-coding RNA from Heterocephalus glaber (naked mole-rat), 1622 nucleotides. The record is from RefSeq and is a predicted model, not a curated record. NCBI's taxonomy places the organism in Eukaryota, Metazoa, Chordata, Mammalia, Rodentia, Bathyergidae.
ACUGCCAGUGGCAAUCUUUCUCCAUCUUUAAUUUCAGCAUCUCCCAUUGCUUUUAGGUUGGCCUGCUGGACUUCUGAGUGCUUGGCCCAAAUUAUCUUUCCAUUGGCAUCCAUGGACAUGGCAGGUUCCUCCCGCCCAAGCUGGAAGAGUGACAAACGAAAUGAAAAGAGUGAAGUUUGGUGAUGAAGAGCCCAGCUGCCACACCUUCAGAGAGCAACAGCCAGUUUAGUAGAGAGCUUCGUUUUCAGAAGGCAGAUCCAUCACACUUCUGACAUGCAACAUACAAUGCCAAAGCCCAGGAGAGAAAAGCUAAGAAGCUUUCAUUUUUUUCCCCACCUAUCUGUUUUAGUUCCUUCUCAUUUUACUUGACUUUCCAAUAAUCAAGGCAGAAUCACUGUGAAGUUCUCUGAAAACGGCAAUCUCCAGGCUUUAUCCUGAGAUUAUGAAUACGUACAGUUGAUCUACAGUGAAGCCCAAGGAUCUAGAUGUUUAACACUGAGAAACAUUACUCUAAGGGCAGAUAAUGAUUCUGUGGGAGAUUUAAUACAAAGCUAAUGAAAGUGGAUUUAGUAAAGUGUACUGAAAGGAAAAAAUUACUGAUUAAAAAAUUUAAAGUACAGAAAAUUAGUCAAAAGUUACAGGACUGAGCUUUAUCUUUAUAAAUAUUUUACUGGUUGUCUACUGUAUGGAAGGCCCUGAGGAGAGUUUAAAGCUAUGUAAACAAAUAUUUACCACUUACUUGUAUGUGACAAACUUUACUUAAGCCAAAGGUAAUUUUUGUUCCACCAAAAGGGUAAAAAAAGUAAAGUUAAACCCUAAAAUAUUCAGAUGUGUACAGUUUAUAUAAAUUAAAGGAAAACCAGUAAAUAUGUUAUAUGAAAUUAAAUGCGUAAGCAAAGAUUAAUCUGAUUUUAUAUCUAUGCUUAUGGAGAUUUUAAAUAUAAUGGCAAAAGAAUGACUAUACUCACUGCAAUGUGCAUUAAGCAUCUAGUGCAAGCAAAACAUUGUGUUGUUUGCUGUUGAAUGCCUAUUUGGGAGAAGGGGAAAACAUGCAGUUCCUUCCCCAAGUGUCUAGUAUUUCAGAGGAUAAAGAGUUCCAAAAACAUUAAUUAUGACUCUAUGUGAGAAAGGUAUUAAUAGAAGCAAAAGGAAUGGAAUGAGCAUCCACAGCUGAAGUGGAUGCCUUUACAAGAGCUUCUCAGAGUUAAGUAUUUGUGGCAAGCCUUGAAAUCUGUGUUGUCUAGAGGAAUAUAAAUCAAAAAGGGAGAGUAAAGAAACUUCAAGGUGAGGGGAAGAGUUGGUUAAGGGAAGGUUCCAGAAUGGUGAGGAGACAAGGGUUACAGAUGUCUUAUAACAUUAGUGCAGGUUAGCCUUGGCACUCCUAAGGCACUUGGACUUUACACUCACAUUGAGAACUGGUAAGACGAAAUCUAUUGUUGGGAAAAAUACUGGUUGCAGUAUGGGUAACAGAGUAAGAAAGGGAAAAUGGAAGCAAAGAAUUCCAGUGUGAAAUUGAUUAAUAAUGAGUUGAGGUCAACAACGAAUAUACUAAGGAGAGUAAAGUAAUAGCCUAAAGAAGAUCACAUCAUUUUUCUUAUUCCGGGUUCCUGAAGGCAAAAAAA